AAAUUGAAGAGUUUGAUCAUGGCUCAGAUUGAACGCUGGCGGCAGGCCUAACACAUGCAAGUCGAACGGUAACAGGAAUCAGCUUGCUGAUUCGCUGACGAGUGGCGGACGGG
RNAcentral lists this ribosomal RNA (113 nucleotides) under Escherichia coli. RNAcentral describes it as "partial 16S ribosomal RNA". It matches the Rfam family "Bacterial small subunit ribosomal RNA", at positions 1 to 106 of the family's 1533-position model. The record is from RNAcentral. Lineage: Bacteria; Pseudomonadati; Pseudomonadota; Gammaproteobacteria; Enterobacterales; Enterobacteriaceae.